Molecule: ribosomal RNA, 497 nt
Filed under: uncultured bacterium
Lineage: Bacteria
Description: partial 16S ribosomal RNA
Rfam family: Bacterial small subunit ribosomal RNA
Source: RNAcentral
GAUGAACGCUGGCGGCGUGCCUAAUACAUGCAAGUCGAGCGAACAGAUGAGGAGCUUGCUCCUCUGACGUUAGCGGCGGACGGGUGAGUAACACGUGGAUAACCUACCUAUAAGACUGGGAUAACUUCGGGAAACCGGAGCUAAUACCGGAUAAUAUAUUGAACCGCAUGGUUCAAUAGUGAAAGACGGUUUUGCUGUCACUUAUAGAUGGAUCCGCGCCGCAUUAGCUAGUUGGUAAGGUAACGGCUUACCAAGGCAACGAUGCGUAGCCGACCUGAGAGGGUGAUCGGCCACACUGGAACUGGGACACGGUCCAGGCUCCUACGGGAGGCAGCAGUAGGGAAUCUUCCGCAAUGGGCGAAAGCCUGACGGAGCAACGCCGCGUGAGUGAUGAAGGUCUUCGGAUCGUAAAACUCUGUUAUUAGGGAAGAACAAAUGUGUAAGUAACUAUGCACGUCUUGACGGUACCUAAUCAGAAAGCCACGGCUAACUACGUG